CCUACGGGAGGCUGCAGUGGGGAAUAUUGGACAAUGGGGGGAACCCAGAUCCAGCCAUGCCGCGUGUGUGAAGAAGGCCCUCGGGUUGUAAAGCACUUUCAGUGAGGAAGAACGCCUGGUGGUUAAUACCCAUCAGGAAAGACAUCACUCACAGAAGAAGCACCGGCUAACUCCGUGCCAGCAGCCGCGGUAAUACGGAGGGUGCGAGCGUUAAUCGGAAUUACUGGGCGUAAAGCGCGCGUAGGUGGCUUGAUAAGCCGGUUGUGAAAGCCCCGGGCUCAACCUGGGAACGGCAUCCGGAACUGUCAAGCUAGAGUGCAGGAGAGGAAGGUAGAAUUCCCGGUGUAGCGGUGAAAUGCGUAGAGAUCGGGAGGAAUACCAGUGGCGAAGGCGGCCUUCUGGACUGACACUGACACUGAGGUGCGAAAGCGUGGGUAGCAAACAGGAUUAGAUACCCUAGUAGUC
RNAcentral lists this ribosomal RNA (465 nucleotides) under Vreelandella stevensii. RNAcentral's name for it is "partial 16S ribosomal RNA". It matches the Rfam family "Bacterial small subunit ribosomal RNA", at positions 338 to 795 of the family's 1533-position model. Lineage: Bacteria; Pseudomonadati; Pseudomonadota; Gammaproteobacteria; Oceanospirillales; Halomonadaceae. The record is from RNAcentral.